GCCCCCAUCGUCUAGCGGCCCAGGACCCCGCCCUUUCACGGCGGUAGCGCCGGUUCGAAUCCGGUUGGGGGUGC
This 74-nucleotide transfer RNA is filed under the name Nocardioides hwasunensis. RNAcentral describes it as "tRNA-Glu". It matches the Rfam family "tRNA". From Rfam's summary of the family: Transfer RNA (tRNA) molecules are approximately 80 nucleotides in length. Lineage: Bacteria; Bacillati; Actinomycetota; Actinomycetes; Propionibacteriales; Nocardioidaceae. RNAcentral also lists the same sequence under 5 other names. The record is from RNAcentral.